Molecule: ribosomal RNA, 404 nt
Filed under: Actinomycetes bacterium
Lineage: Bacteria; Bacillati; Actinomycetota; Actinomycetes
Description: Actinobacteria bacterium partial 16S ribosomal RNA
Rfam family: Bacterial small subunit ribosomal RNA
Source: RNAcentral
UGGGGAAUAUUGGACAAUGGGCGCAAGCCUGAUCCAGCCAUGCCGCGUGAGUGAUGAAGGCCCUAGGGUUGUAAAGCUCUUUCACCGGUGAAGAUAAUGACGGUAACCGGAGAAGAAGCCCCGGCUAACUUCGUGCCAGCAGCCGCGGUAAUACGAAGGGGGCUAGCGUUGUUCGGAUUUACUGGGCGUAAAGCGCACGUAGGCGGACUUUUAAGUCAGGGGUGAAAUCCCGGGGCUCAACCCCGGAACUGCCUUUGAUACUGGAAGUCUUUAGUACGGUAGAGGUGAGUGGAAUUCCGAGUGUAGAGGUGAAAUUCGUAGAUAUUCGGAGGAACACCAGUGGCGAAGGCGGCUCACUGGACCAUUACUGACGCUGAGGUGCGAAAGCGUGGGGAGCAAACAGG